AGAGUUUGAUCAUGGCUCAGGACGAACGCUGGCGGCGUGCUUAACACAUGCAAGUCGAACGAUGAACCACUUCGGUGGGGAUUAGUGGCGAACGGGUGAGUAACACGUGGGCAAUCUGCCCUUCACUCUGGGACAAGCCCUGGAAACGGGGUCUAAUACCGGAUAUCACUUCCACUCGCAUGGGUGGGGGUCGAAAGCUCCGGCGGUGAAGGAUGAGCCCGCGGCCUAUCAGCUUGUUGGUGAGGUAAUGGCUCACCAAGGCGACGACGGGUAGCCGGCCUGAGAGGGCGACCGGCCACACUGGGACUGAGACACGGCCCAGACUCCUACGGGAGGCAGCAGUGGGGAAUAUUGCACAAUGGGCGAAAGCCUGAUGCAGCGACGCCGCGUGAGGGAUGACGGCCUUCGGGUUGUAAACCUCUUUCAGCAGGGAAGAAGCGAAAGUGACGGUACCUGCAGAAGAAGCGCCGGCUAACUACGUGCCAGCAGCCGCGGUA
RNAcentral lists this ribosomal RNA (497 nucleotides) under uncultured Actinomycetes bacterium. RNAcentral's name for it is "bacterial SSU rRNA". It matches the Rfam family "Bacterial small subunit ribosomal RNA", at positions 8 to 522 of the family's 1533-position model. Lineage: Bacteria; Bacillati; Actinomycetota; Actinomycetes. The record is from RNAcentral.